Echinops telfairi (small Madagascar hedgehog) is the source of this 156-nucleotide small nuclear RNA. Its record names the gene U1. It matches the Rfam family "U1 spliceosomal RNA". From Rfam's summary of the family: U1 is a small nuclear RNA (snRNA) component of the spliceosome (involved in pre-mRNA splicing). Its 5' end forms complementary base pairs with the 5' splice junction, thus defining the 5' donor site of an intron. NCBI's taxonomy places the organism in Eukaryota, Metazoa, Chordata, Mammalia, Afrosoricida, Tenrecidae. The record is from Ensembl.
UAAAUACCCUGGCAGGGGAGACACCAUGAUCAAGAAGGUGGUUUUCCCAGGGCGAGGCUUAUCCAUUGCACUAUGGGUGUGCUGACCCCUGCGAUUUCCCCAAUGUGGUAAACUGCAUAAUUUGUGGUAGUGAGGACUGCGUUCCCGCUCUCCCCU